RNAcentral lists this ribosomal RNA (499 nucleotides) under Ascomycota sp. HL4928S. Its description in RNAcentral is "eukaryotic LSU rRNA". The stretch from base 148 to 301 matches the Rfam family "5.8S ribosomal RNA". The record is from RNAcentral. Lineage: Eukaryota; Fungi; Ascomycota.
CGAAUCCUAGGAGUUUGUAGGCUUUGCCUGCUAUCUCUUACCCAUGUCUUUUGAGUACCUUACGUUUCCUCGGCGGGUCCGCCCGCCGAUUGGACAAUUUAAACCAUUUGCAGUUGCAAUCAGCGUCUGAAAAAACUUAAUAGUUACAACUUUCAACAACGGAUCUCUUGGUUCUGGCAUCGAUGAAGAACGCAGCGAAAUGCGAUAAGUAGUGUGAAUUGCAGAAUUCAGUGAAUCAUCGAAUCUUUGAACGCACAUUGCGCCCCUUGGUAUUCCAUGGGGCAUGCCUGUUCGAGCGUCAUUUGUACCUUCAAGCUCUGCUUGGUGUUGGGUGUUUGUCUCGCCUCUGCGUGUAGACUCGCCUCAAAACAAUUGGCAGCCGGCGUAUUGAUUUCGGAGCGCAGUACAUCUCGCGCUUUGCACUCAUAACGACGACGUCCAAAAGUACAUUUUUACACUCUUGACCUCGGAUCAGGUAGGGAUACCCGCUGAACUUAAG